Molecule: ribosomal RNA, 253 nt
Filed under: uncultured bacterium
Lineage: Bacteria
Description: partial 16S ribosomal RNA
Rfam family: Bacterial small subunit ribosomal RNA
Source: RNAcentral
UACGGGGGGUGCGAGCGUUGCUCGGAAUCACUGGGCGUAAAGCGUCCGCAGGCGGAAGUGUGUGUCGGUGGUGAAAUCCCAGGGCUCAACCCUGGAACUGCCAUCGAAACUGCAUUUCUCGAGUACGGGAGAGGAGGGCGGAAUUCCUGGUGUAGAGGUGAAAUUCGUAGAUAUCAGGAGGAACACCUGUGGCGAAAGCGGCCCUCUGGCCCGAUACUGACGCUCAUGGACGAGAGCGUGGGGAGCAAACAGG